CCUACGGGUGGCAGCAGUCGAGAAUCAUUCACAAUGGAGGCAACUCUGAUGGUGCAACGCCGCGUGGAGGAUGACGGUCCUAGGAUUGUAAACUCCUGUCAUUGGGGAGUAAGACUUAUGCGUUAAUAGCGUGUAAGUUUGAUAGUACCCAAAGAGGAAGGGACGGCUAACUUCGUGCCAGCAGCCGCGGUAAUACGAAGGUCCCAAGCGUUGUUCGGAAUCACUGGGCGUAAAGCGUGUGUAGGCUGCGCGGAAAGUCAAAUGUGAAAGCCCGGGGCUCAACCUCGGAACUGCAUUCGAUACUCCCGUGCUAGAGUAAUGGAGAGGUAAGUGGAAUUCCCGGUGUAGCAGUGAAAUGCGUGGAUAUCGGGAGGAACAUCAAUGGCGAAGGCAACUUACUGGACAUUUACUGACGCUCAGACACGAAGGCUAGGGGAGCG
RNAcentral lists this ribosomal RNA (440 nucleotides) under uncultured bacterium. RNAcentral's name for it is "bacterial SSU rRNA". It matches the Rfam family "Bacterial small subunit ribosomal RNA", at positions 338 to 770 of the family's 1533-position model. The record is from RNAcentral.